CGAGCGAAGCGGGAAGAGCUCAAAUUUAUAAUCUGGCACCUUCGGUGUCCGAGUUGUAAUCUCUAGAAGUGUUUUCCGCGUUGGACCGCACACAAGUCUGUUGGAAUACAGCGGCAUAGUGGUGAAACCCCCGUAUAUGGUGCGGACGCCCAGCGCUUUGUGAUACACUUUCAAUGAGUCGAGUUGUUUGGGAAUGCAGCUCAAAUUGGGUGGUAAAUUCCAUCUAAAGCUAAAUAUUGGCGAGAGACCGAUAGCGAACAAGUACCGUGAGGGAAAGAUGAAAAGCACUUUGGAAAGAGAGUUAACAGUACGUGAAAUUGUUGGAAGGGAAACGCUUGAAGUCAGACUUGCUUGCCGGAGCUUGCUUCGGUUUGCAGGCCAGCAUCAGUUUUCCGGGGUGGAUAAUGACGGUUUGAAGGUAGCAGUCUCGGCUGUGUUAUAGCUUUCCGUUGGAUACGCCCUGGGGGACUGAGGAACGCAGCGUGCUUUUUGCGAAAGACUCGUCUUUUUCACGCUUAGGAUGCUGGUGGAAUGGCUUUAAACGACCCGUC
Molecule: ribosomal RNA, 551 nt
Filed under: Rhodotorula diobovata
Lineage: Eukaryota; Fungi; Basidiomycota; Microbotryomycetes; Sporidiobolales; Sporidiobolaceae
Description: eukaryotic LSU rRNA
Rfam family: Eukaryotic large subunit ribosomal RNA
Source: RNAcentral